Non-coding RNA from Miniopterus natalensis, 384 nucleotides. The record is from RefSeq and is a predicted model, not a curated record. NCBI's taxonomy places the organism in Eukaryota, Metazoa, Chordata, Mammalia, Chiroptera, Miniopteridae.
UGGGAGGCUUCAGUCAAAUGAAUGCCGGCGGUUCACUGAACGAAUCCGUGUGGCCGGAUCUUAUCCGGGGCUGGUGUCUGAUACCAAAUGAUGUGUCCUCGUUUGUUAAUAAGCCCUCCGUACGGUAAAUGCCGGUUGCUGAAUGUAUAAUGAACGUGCCUGAGGAACCUUCUAAUUAUGCAAGGAACUUUAUAGACAACCUGGAAUAUCAAUAAUCAUCUCCUCUGACAAGUCGUCCAGCUCACAGUAGGAAUCAAAGAAGAGUUUAAAAUUGGAUCUCCAGGCCAUAACUUAACUACCAGUACCUAUAUAUGUAAGUAUAAAUCUGAUUGGUUAAGUUGUAUUCAUUAGAUAUAUGUACAGCUUUUUGUAUGUCAAUCAUAC